This 312-nucleotide ribosomal RNA is filed under the name uncultured bacterium. RNAcentral's name for it is "bacterial SSU rRNA". It matches the Rfam family "Bacterial small subunit ribosomal RNA", at positions 772 to 1083 of the family's 1533-position model. The record is from RNAcentral.
ACGCAAUAGAUACCUGGUAGUCCACGCCGUAAACGAUGUGGAGCCGGUGUCGGUGCGUGAUUGCGCGCAGCGGUGCCCAAGCUUACGCGAUGACUCCACCGCCUGGGAACUACGGCCGCAAGGCUAAAACUCAAAGGAAUUGACGGGGCCGCACAAGCAGCGGAGCGUGUGGUUUAAUUACGACGCAACACGAAGCACCUCACCUGGGUUUGUACAUGCUAGUGCAAGCUGCUGAAAGGCAGUCGCCUUCGAGGGUCGUAGCACAGGUGCUGCAUGGCUGUCGUCAGCUCGUGUCGUGAGAUGUUGGGUUAA